RNAcentral lists this ribosomal RNA (505 nucleotides) under uncultured bacterium. RNAcentral's name for it is "bacterial SSU rRNA". It matches the Rfam family "Bacterial small subunit ribosomal RNA", at positions 15 to 507 of the family's 1533-position model. The record is from RNAcentral.
GAUCAUGGCUCAGGAUGAACGCUAGCUACAGGCUUAACACAUGCAAGUCGAGGGGAAACGAUAUUGGAAGCUUGCUUCCGAUAGGCGUCGACCGGCGCACGGGUGAGUAACGCGUAUCCAACCUGCCCGUCACUUGGGAAUAACCUUGCGAAAGUAAGACUAAUGCCCAAUGACAUUUAUAGAAGGCAUCUGAAAUGAAUUAAAGAUUUAUCGGUGAUGGAUGGGGAUGCGUCUGAUUAGCUUGUUGGCGGGGUAACGGCCCACCAAGGCAACGAUCAGUAGGGGUUCUGAGAGGAAGGUCCCCCACAUUGGAACUGAGACACGGUUCAAACUCCUACGGGAGGCAGCAGUGAGGAAUAUUGGUCAAUGGGCGAGAGCCUGAACCAGCCAAGUAGCGUGCAGGAAGACGGCCCUAUGGGUUGUAAACUGCUUUUAUAGGGGAAUAAAGUGAGCCACGUGUGGUUUUUUGCAUGUACCCUAUGAAUAAGGACCGGCUAAUUCCGUG